Molecule: non-coding RNA, 46 nt
Filed under: Schistosoma mattheei
Lineage: Eukaryota; Metazoa; Platyhelminthes; Trematoda; Strigeidida; Schistosomatidae
Source: RNAcentral
GAACUGUUGAGGAGUCCCAUACUAGGACGAAACGGCCGUCCAGUGC